Molecule: long non-coding RNA, 2642 nt
Organism: Chrysemys picta bellii (western painted turtle)
Lineage: Eukaryota; Metazoa; Chordata; Testudines; Emydidae
Source: RefSeq, a predicted model, not a curated record
CCCAGGCUCAGCACAACAACAAACAGGGGACGCUGCUGGGAGCGCGCAGCCCCCGGGAAAGCGCCGAAGGGGGGGCUUUGCAAUGGGACUCCCCAGCAGCAGCAGCAGCUCGACCACCCUGACCCAGACCCUGCGAGCCCCUGGCAAGCUCGCUCAAGCUCGCAGGGGAGAGUGCGGCGAGCUCCUGGACAUCCGCCGUCCCACAACUUCCCUGCGGAGCGGAGGCGAUCCUGGAGUGCGAGAGAACCAUGGCAAAGCACUCCGCAGCAAGGUGUUUCGUGUAAACAUAACCACCUGGCAGAUACGGAUUUAAGACUGGCUGCGAAGCUCAGGCCCGGAAAUCCCCAGAGGCAGCGAAGAAAGAAGGCGGAGGGGAAGUCACUUACCAUCCCUGAACACAGGCUGAUGACCGCAGUGUUCUGCGGCUGGGUAUUCACAUGUCCUCUAUAAAAACAGUGCUUUACGUCGCUGGCCUCCUCGCUGUAAAACCUGGUUUGGUUAACCCCCGGGGCUCCGAGGAGGCUGACCGUGAAACGUGGCGCAAUAAAUCCAGAAUGGGCCGUGAGGUUGAACAGAAACUGCUCCCCGAAGGCGGAAAGCCGGUAGUGUGCGGAGGAGUCGUCGGUGGCCCAAGGGUCCGGGUCAGGAUUAAUACUUCGUCUCUUUCGUUUGAAGUGUACGUGCGUGGGAAAGGGGGCUCCGAAUUCGUUCACACGGGUGGGGGUGACGAUCUCGAACUCGCGGAGUUUCUCCAGCAGUUGGGCUGCAAAGAGGAACAGACACAUGCCCGGUAAAGAAUCGCUCUCUCGCUCAGGUCAGGCAAGGCGUAGCUUUUUCCCACACACUUCUCUUGGAUGAACGCAGCCAGGCCUGGCUCUCUAAAGUUGUAUCUAGCAAGGGGGGAGGAUAGAGGUAGCUAUCCUUACCAAACAAAUCAAUGCACCACUCGGUUGCCUGCAACAGCCACGGGGUGGUGAAGUAGUGGUACUGUAUUUGCAUUGCUGGAGCACCUAGAGACUUUAAUCUAGACCAGGACCCCCACAGAGCUAGGCGCUGUACACAAAAAAAGGCAAUCCCUGCCUCCACCAGCACAAGAAGAAUCCUUAGCUUUUCUAUAAACCCACCAGGGACGGCCAGUUGCCCAAACCCUGCACCCUUCCUCCACUUCAAAGGGGUUUCUAAACUCGGGCUAUUUGCAGCUUCAGAAAGGUUUCAAGGAAAUGAAGACCAUGUUCGGCCGCUUCUGUCCCCCUGCCCUGUGGGCACCGUGUUUUCCCAGCCUGAGAAAGGCGCAAACUUUUUAAAGUUCUGUCACUGGUGACUGAGGGCAAGCCAAGGGAAUCCAUGAAACGGAUACUGCAGAGUGGUAGAAAUACCCCCCCCCCAGGUUAAAAUGCGGUCUAAGAAACGGCCCAAAGAACUGGAAACUUCCCUGAAGGAGCUCGGGAUGCCAAAAGCAUCUUCUUACCUUGUCUUGGAUGCAGCGUCUGCUUCCUCGCUGCUGCGGUGGCUACAUGCAAGACGUCCUGCAGAAAGAGUGUUCCUAAUCCCAGUGCCCAUAGCACCAGCGGCAUGGUGGUGUGAGCGGCUCCUGAACAGAGAGCAGCCUCCCCCCGCCCCCCUUUUAAUUCCACCCCCGCCCCCACCCCUUGCUCCUGCUUCAGAGCUCCCCCCACCCCCCCAACUUCACUUUAUUAAAAGUGGGAACCGCUCGCAUCCGAUUUGUUCCCCCUGGGCUCUGCGGUGACCACAACUGCCAGCGGAGAGCAGAUUAGCAGCGGCAGCAGGAGGAGGAGGGAUGAUCGCGCACGGGGUAUCGGAUACACCAGCAUAGUGUAGUGAGAGGGGCUCGGGAAGGAACAGGGAAGCGCCGGUUGCACUUUUGGUGGGCUGCUUUUUCCUCUCUCUCCCCCCCCCUUCUAGCUGGUGCCCUCGGAGAUCUUGGGAACCAGUUCAGGAGACCGGAGGGGGGCGGUCUCCGGCAAAGCAAAUGCCCAGAGCCCGCCUCUGGAGGAGGGCUCCUCCCUGCUUUCUUAGCGUGUCACUUUCUUCCCUUCCAAGGAAGCUUUUGCUUCUGGUUUUCCAGGGGAAAAGACCUUGCCCGAUUCAGUACCUAGGCCAGGACUCCUUUCCCUGGGAGGAGGGAUGAAGGAGGGAGAGAGAUUUACAAGAAGCUGAACACUGCAGCAAGAAUCUCACUGUACUAAACUCUACCACUGUACUUUGUUCCCUGUUGUGCACUCCCCCCCCCCUCUCAACUUAAAGUUGCCUCAUCAGGAGAAUCUAAUGAUUUCUUUAUUAUUUGUUCUUCUACACCUAGUGACUUUGGCUUUCUGAAAAUAUACGCAGCUCUUAUCGACUUGGAUCAGUUUAUUCCUCCAGGAAUGAAUAGUUCAUCUGAAAAAGAAACACUGUUAAAUGCAUUCAAAGGAGUGAGAAUGAGAGCCUCUCUCUUUAAAAGAAAUAAAAACAGCCAAAUGGAUGUGGCAGCACCCAUACCUUGUAAACAAACUAAUCUCUUUACUUUUGUUUAGUGAAAGUACAAGAACUUUAAAAAUUCAAUUAACUUGCCGCUUUUGGUGCUAUUUGUUUUCUUGUGCAUUUCUCAGAGUUAGGACAAUUAAAAUGGGUGAUGUGGCCCA